AAGUCGUAACAAGGUUUCCGUAGGUGAACCUGCGGAAGGAUCAUUACAGAGUAAACUUGGUGGGUUGUUGCUGGCUCUCAAUUGAGCAUGUGCACGCCUGUCAUCUUUAUCUUUCCACCAUGUGCACUUUUUGUAGGUCUGGAUUGGACAAUAAGCCUAGCCCCUUGUGGGUUAUUGGAAAGUUGCUGAUUACAUCGGCUCUUUCUGUUACUGGCUGUUUCUUCCUAGGCUUCUACGAUUUAUCUAUAUACACCAUGUAUGUCAAUGAACGCAAUCAAUGGGCCUUUAAAAGCCUAUAAACAUAUAAUACAACUUUCAGCAACGGAUCUCUUGGCUCUC
RNAcentral lists this unclassified non-coding RNA (339 nucleotides) under Conocybe velutipes. Its description in RNAcentral is "partial internal transcribed spacer region". The stretch from base 1 to 46 matches the Rfam family "Eukaryotic small subunit ribosomal RNA", at positions 1786 to 1831 of the family's 1831-position model. The record is from RNAcentral. Lineage: Eukaryota; Fungi; Basidiomycota; Agaricomycetes; Agaricales; Bolbitiaceae.